CAGCCGCCGCGGGAAUACGUAGGUGGCAAGCGUUGUCCGGAAUUAUUGGGCGUAAAGGGCUCGCAGGCGGUUUCUCAAGUCUGAUGUGAAAGCCCCCGGCUCAACCGGGGAGGGUCAUUGGAAACUGGGAAACUUGAGUGCAGAAGAGGAGAGUGGAAUUCCACGUGUAGCGGUGAAAUGCGUAGAGAUGUGGAGGAACACCAGUGGCGAAGGCGACUCUCUGGUCUGUAACCGACGCUGAGGAGCGAAAGCGUGGGGAGCGAACAGGAUUAGAGACCCCCGUAGUCCCUGUCUCUUAUAC
RNAcentral lists this ribosomal RNA (301 nucleotides) under uncultured bacterium. Its description in RNAcentral is "partial 16S ribosomal RNA". It matches the Rfam family "Bacterial small subunit ribosomal RNA", at positions 509 to 807 of the family's 1533-position model. The record is from RNAcentral.